CGAAGGUGCAAGCGUUAAUCGGAAUUACUGGGCGUAAAGCGCGCGUAGGUGGUUUGUUAAGUUGGAAGUGAAAGCCCCGGGCUCAACCUGGGAACUGCUUUCAAAACUGGCAAGCUAGAGUAUGGCAGAGGGUGGUGGAAUUUCCUGUGUAGCGGUGAAAUGCGUAGAUAUAGGAAGGAACACCAGUGGCGAAGGCGACCACCUGGGCUAAUACUGACACUGAGGUGCGAAAGCGUGGGGAGCAAACAGGAUU
This 253-nucleotide ribosomal RNA is filed under the name uncultured bacterium. RNAcentral's name for it is "partial 16S ribosomal RNA". It matches the Rfam family "Bacterial small subunit ribosomal RNA", at positions 527 to 779 of the family's 1533-position model. The record is from RNAcentral.